AAUCCGCAUAACGUCGCAAAGACCAAAGAGGGGGGACCUUCGGGCCUCUUGCCAUCGGAUGUGCCCAGAUGGGAUUAGCUAGUAGGUGGGGUAACGGCUCACCUAGGCGACGAUCCCUAGCUGGUCUGAGAGGAUGACCAACCACACUGGAAAACUGAGACACGGUCCAGUACCUACGGGAGGCAGCAGUGGGAAACAUUGCACAAAUCGGGCGCAAGCCAAUGAAUGCAACCAUGCCCCGGUGAUGAAGAAGGCCUUCGGGUUGUAAAGUACUUUCAGCGGGAAGGAAGGGAGUAAAGUCAAUACCUUUGUGCUCAUUGACGUUACCCGCAGAAGAAGCACCGGCCAACUCCGUGCCAGCAGCCGCGGUAAUACGGAGGGGUGCAAGCGUUAAUCGGAAAUUACUGGGGCGUAAAGCGCACGCAGGCGGUUUGUUAAGUCAGAUGUGAGAAUCACGGGCUCAACCUGGGAACUGCAUCUGAUACUGGCAAGCUUGAGUCUCGUAGAGGGGGGUAGAAUUCCAAGGUGUAGCGGUGAAAUGCGUAGAGAUCUGGAGGAAUACCGGUGGCGAAGGCGGCCCCCUGGACGGAAGUCUGACGCUCAGGUGCGAAAGCGUGGGGAGCAAACAGGAUUAGAUACCCUGGUAGUCCACGCCGUAAACGAUGUCGACUUGGAGGUUGUGCCCUUGAGGCGUGGCUUCCGGAGCUAACGCGUUAAGUCGACCGCCUGGGGAGUACGGCCGCAAGGUUAAAACUCAAAUGAAUUGACGGGGGCCCGCACAAGCGGUGGGAGCAUGUGGUUUAUUCGAUGGCAACGCGAAGAACCUUACCCUGGUCUUGACAUCCACAGGAAGUUUUCAGAGAUGGAGAUAUGUGCCUUCCGGAACCGUGAGACAGGUGCUGGCAUGGCUGUCGUCAGCUCGUGUUGUGAAAUGGUGGGAAUAAGUCCGGCGCAACGAGCGCAACCCAUAUCAUUUGUGGCCAGCCGAUCCGGCCGGGAACUCAAAGGAGACUCCAGUGAUAAACUGGAGGAAGGUGGGGAUGACGUCAAGUCAUCAUGGCCCUUACGACCAGGGCUAACACACGUG
RNAcentral lists this ribosomal RNA (1087 nucleotides) under Escherichia coli. Its description in RNAcentral is "bacterial SSU rRNA". It matches the Rfam family "Bacterial small subunit ribosomal RNA", at positions 166 to 1224 of the family's 1533-position model. The record is from RNAcentral. Lineage: Bacteria; Pseudomonadati; Pseudomonadota; Gammaproteobacteria; Enterobacterales; Enterobacteriaceae.